CUCUUUCUAGGCGGUUGAGCCUAUUCUUAUCACUUUACCACUCUGUAAUCCAGUAACACCUUCAUUGAAUCAUACAUCAGUUGUUGCUUGUCUUGGUCAUAUUAGUUUAGUACGUUGUGAUAACUGCAUCAUGCAUAGUAGCUUCUGAGCACUAUAUAAAUGGCAGCUAAGUUCAUUCAUUUCCAUAUCCCUCCAAUGUUGUCUGCAUCUUGAGUUUACAACCGAGAGUGGCAAACUGACAAUUGGCAUGGCUCUCUUGGUCCCUCUCUCCCUUGAAGGCUCUCUCUGGUAAAUCUGGUUGGCUUCCCGGCACAUAUCCAGAACCUUCUUGAGAAAGCCUUCGGGGAGGAGGGAGCCCAAGCAAGCCACAGUGCCUGUACCAAAUACAGAAAAGAUGUGCACUGAUUGGUUAUGUUUUUUAUUUGAUUAUUUUUUUGAGAACUUGAGUAAUUAUUUGCUGUGUUGAUUGUUUAAAAUGAGCCUAUCUCUAUCAACUGACAUCGGUCUGGAUGUACAAGGAAUGGACAACCGGGGAUUGGCAAGUUUCUUAUCUUUACAAGGCAGUUGAGGCGUGAAGCUACUGAUCAUCUCGUAAACAGGUACGAGAAGGAGAAGAAGGAAGAAAGUCAGGUGCCAUGCCAGGGUUUUUCUUCACUUGGAGGUCUCAUCACUACUGAAUUGUGUGAAUAGGUGGAUGUUACAACGUUGUUGAUGGUGCUCAACUUUCCUAAACUAAUGGGUGCAUUGGUAGCAACACUCUGCUCUAGCUUUAUGGGUGCUCGCUAAACCGCCAGUUCACAACAUUACGUCAUGAGGUUGGGCGUGUUGGAUGUUGGUUGAACACAGUCAGAUGCCAAGCAACAGAUGAACUCAUAGAAAAUGGACACCAUUGUUUUUGUGUUACUUGUCAAGUGGUAGUGAAGCUAGUCGCUCUCUACUCCACAGUCGGGAGCCCUUCCUUGUUUUAUUUGGGCUAUGAACGUUUGUAGUUCUGACAUGAUGGUUACUGCUUGUAGUUCAGACAUAAUGGACGUCCGUGUUUUGUUUGGGCUACGUUGACGGGCCUCGAAUAAAACAUGCAGAAAUACAGUAUUGUUCACAUGCUUGCAGGCCAGGAUGGUUGUGCAUAUCCUGUCA
Panicum hallii is the source of this 1137-nucleotide long non-coding RNA. RefSeq lists it as uncharacterized. The transcript is spliced from 2 exons. The record is from RefSeq and is a predicted model, not a curated record. Lineage: Eukaryota; Viridiplantae; Streptophyta; Magnoliopsida; Poales; Poaceae.